GGUGCAAGCGUUACUCGGAAUUACUGGGCGUAAAGCGUGCGUAGGUGGUGAGUUAAGUCUGUCGUGAAAGCCCCGGGCUCAACCUGGGAAUGGCGAUGGAUACUGGCUCGCUAGAGUGCGGUAGAGGAGAGUGGAAUUCCCGGUGUAGCAGUGAAAUGCGUAGAGAUCGGGAGGAACAUCAGUUGCGAAGGCGGCUCUCUGGACCAGCACUGACACUGAGGCACGAAAGCGUGGGGAGCAAACAGG
Molecule: ribosomal RNA, 246 nt
Filed under: uncultured bacterium
Lineage: Bacteria
Description: partial 16S ribosomal RNA
Rfam family: Bacterial small subunit ribosomal RNA
Source: RNAcentral